RNAcentral lists this ribosomal RNA (885 nucleotides) under uncultured bacterium. RNAcentral describes it as "bacterial SSU rRNA". It matches the Rfam family "Bacterial small subunit ribosomal RNA", at positions 21 to 902 of the family's 1533-position model. The record is from RNAcentral.
GGCUCAGAUGAAACGCUGGCGGAAUGCUUUACACAUGCAAGUCGAACGGCAGCACGGGGGCAACCCUGGUGGCGAGUGGCGAACGGGUGAGUAAUACAUCGGAACGUGCCCAGUCGUGGGGGAUAACGUAGCGAAAGCUACGCUAAUACCGCAUACGAUCUACGGAUGAAAGCGGGGGAUCGCAAGACCUCGCGCGAUUGGAGCGGCCGAUGGCAGAUUAGGUAGUUGGUGGGGUAAAGGCUCACCAAGCCGACGAUCUGUAGCUGGUCUGAGAGGACGACCAGCCACACUGGGACUGAGACACGGCCCAGACUCCUACGGGAGGCAGCAGUGGGGAAUUUUGGACAAUGGGCGAAAGCCUGAUCCAGCCAUUCCGCGUGCAGGAUGAAGGCCCUCGGGUUGUAAACUGCUUUUGUACGGAACGAAACGCGCUGUGCUAACACCACGGCGUAAUGACGGUACCGUAAGAAUAAGCACCGGCUAACUACGUGCCAGCAGCCGCGGUAAUACGUAGGGUGCAAGCGUUAAUCGGAAUUACUGGGCGUAAAGCGUGCGCAGGCGGUUAUGUAAGACAGGUGUGAAAUCCCCGGGCUUAACCUGGGAACUGCAUUUGUGACUGCAUAGCUAGAGUACGGUAGAGGGGGAUGGAAUUCCGCGUGUAGCAGUGAAAUGCGUAGAUAUGCGGAGGAACACCGAUGGCGAAGGCAAUCCCCUGGACCUGUACUGACGCUCAUGCACGAAAGCGUGGGGAGCAAACAGGAUUAGAUACCCUGGUAGUCCACGCCCUAAACGAUGUCAACUGGUUGUUGGGUCUUCACUGACUCAGUAACGAAGCUAACGCGUGAAGUUGACCGCCUGGGGAGUACGGCCGCAAGGGUGAAACUC